UUUUCUUCCUUCCUUAACCACUCUUCCUCUUUCUCUAAUUACUUUCUAAGAACUUACCUUAUUUUGCUCUAAUUCAUUAGGUUUCUUUUUUUCUUUGUUUUUUUCCUUUUUUCUUUGUUUGUUAGUUAAUUGACUCAUAAAUCUAGACCUUUUAUUUAGUAAGUAAUUUAUUUCUAAAACCUCCUCCAAUUAAAUUAUACACUCUCACUUAUUUAUAUUAUUCACUUAUAAACUAA
RNAcentral lists this long non-coding RNA (236 nucleotides) under Lathyrus oleraceus (garden pea). RNAcentral describes it as "Pisum sativum (pea) long non-coding RNA (PSAT_LNC010856)". Lineage: Eukaryota; Viridiplantae; Streptophyta; Magnoliopsida; Fabales; Fabaceae. The record is from RNAcentral.